RNAcentral lists this ribosomal RNA (622 nucleotides) under uncultured archaeon. Its description in RNAcentral is "bacterial SSU rRNA". It matches the Rfam family "Archaeal small subunit ribosomal RNA", at positions 213 to 835 of the family's 1478-position model. The record is from RNAcentral.
GUCUGCGGCCGAUUAGGUAGUUGGUUAGGUAAUGGCUUACCAAGCCGUUGAUCGGUACGGGUUGUGAGAGCAAGAGCCCGGAGAUGGAACCUGAGACAAGGUUCCAGGCCCUACGGGGUGCAGCAGGCGCGAAACCUCCGCAGUGUGAGAAAUCGCGACGGGGGGAUCCCAAGUGCCAUUCUUAACGGGAUGGCUUUUCAUUAGUGUAAAGAGCUUUUGGAAUAAGGGCUGGGCAAGACCGGUGCCAGCCGCCGCGGUAACACCGGCAGCUCUAGUGGUAGCAGUUUUUAUUGGGCCUAAAGCGUCCGUAGCCGGUUUAAUAAGUCUCUGGUGAAAUCCUGUAGCUUAACUGUGGGAAUUGCUGGAGAUACUAUUAGACUUGAGACCGGGAGAGGUUAGAGGUACUCCCAGGGUAGAGGUGAAAUUCUGUAAUCCUGGGAGGACCGCCUGUUGCGAAGGCGUCUAACUGGAACGGUUCUGACGGUGAGGGACGAAAGUUAGGGGCGCGAACCGGAUUAGAUACCCGGGUAGUCCUAACUGUAAACGAUGCGGACUUGGUGUUGGGGUGGCUUUGAGCUGCUCCAGUGCCGAAGGGAAGCUGUUAAGUCCGCCGCCUGGGAAG